RNAcentral lists this ribosomal RNA (497 nucleotides) under uncultured bacterium. RNAcentral's name for it is "partial 16S ribosomal RNA". It matches the Rfam family "Bacterial small subunit ribosomal RNA", at positions 28 to 507 of the family's 1533-position model. The record is from RNAcentral.
GAUGAACGCUGGCGGCGUGCCUAAUACAUGCAAGUCGAGCGAACGGACGAGAGGCUUGCUUCUCUGAUGUUAGCGGCGGACGGGUGAGUAACACGUGGAUAACCUACCUAUAAGACUGGGAUAACUUCGGGAAACCGGAGCUAAUACCGGAUGAUAUUUUGAACCGCAUGGUCCAAAAGUGAAAGACGGUCUUGCUGUCACUUAUAGAUGGAUCCGCGCUGCAUUAGCUAGUUGGUAAGGUAACGGCUUACCAAGGCAACGAUGCAUAGCCGACCUGAGAGGGUGAUCGGCCACACUGGAACUGAGACACGGUCCAGACUCCUACGGGAGGCAGCAGUAGGGAAUCUUCCACAAUGGGCGAAAGCCUGACGGAGCAACGCCGCGUGAGUGAUGAAGGUCUUCGGAUCGUAAAACUCUGUUAUUAGGGAAGAACAUAUGUGUAAGUAACUGUGCACAUCUUGACGGUACCUAAUCAGAAAGCCACGGCUAACUACGUG